CCCGCUGAACUUAAGCAUAUCAAUCAGCGGAGGAGAAGAAACUAACAAGGAUUCCCCUAGUAGCGGCGAGCGAAACGGGAUUAGCCCACGGUCAAAAUCUGGAGUUUGUCCUCUGCCAUACCAAAAAACAAAAAAAAAAAAAGAAAGAAAGACCCAGCACCACCUGCCCCCCACUACACACCCCAACACCCAACCCUCCCAAAAUCUUUUUUUUUGCGGGGGUGGGUUCGUGAGAAAAAGGUGGUUCUGAUUUUUCUUCUUUUUCUUUUUUAUUUUUUGGGGCCGCAGUUUCAAUUGGACGUUAAGCUCCCGAUGUGUAACCUGAGGAAAUGGCCUUCCGACACCACAGACCAAAAACUUUCAUCGCCCUUGAAAAAGGGGGUCAGAGAGGGUGACAAUCCCGUGAGAUAGUUGAAAUGUUUUUCGGAGCCUGUCCUGGUGGAACCGAUGCUGGCCCUCUUUCCGCACGAGUAGGGUUGCUUGGAAUCGCAACUUGAAGAGAGGUGGGAAAUUCCAUCUAAGGCUAAAUAUUCCAACGAAAGAUCGAGAGCGAACAGGUACCGCGAGGGAAAGUUGCAAAGAACUCUGAAAAGAGAGUUCAAAGAAUUUGAAAUCGUUGUGGGGGGAAGGGAAUGGGAGGGGACUUUUUUUUUUUUUAAAAAAAACUUUUUUUUGGCAGGGACUUUUUCCCCCUUUUCCCCCCUUUCCCGGGAGGGGGGGGAAAAGGGAAGUUCUUUGUCCCGGUUUUCAAAUUGGUCAGCAUGGUUCCUGGGGGGGGGGGACAAAAUUGGGGGGGAAGGGGUUUUUUUUUUUUUCCCAUUCUUUUAUGUUGGGGAAGGGAAAGGGGCCCUCUUACCCCCCCUUUUUUUCUUUCCCAUCCCGGAGAUUGAGGCCCGGGUUUUUGAAUAAGAUGUGUGUGUUUUUUUUUUCCUUCCAACGCUCCAAUACUUUUUUUUUUUUUUUUUUCUUUCCCCCCCCCCCCCUUUUUACUAUUUUUCCUUCCUCUCGCUCUAUCUUAGUGUGAGAGGAAGUGAGAGUUGAUGUUGUGGGGGGGGGGGGGGUUGGUGGAGAUUUGAAAGAUGUGGAGGAUGUUGUUGGGGUAAUAUUCUCACCCAAAAAAUCGAGAUGCCUGACACAAAAUGGUGAAACGUCCUGUUCGACCCGUCUUGAAACACGG
Molecule: ribosomal RNA, 1177 nt
Filed under: uncultured fungus
Lineage: Eukaryota; Fungi
Description: partial 28S ribosomal RNA
Rfam family: Eukaryotic large subunit ribosomal RNA
Source: RNAcentral